AAUCUUAUAAUUUAAAUUAAAAUAUUAAAUUGCAAAUUUAAAUAUAUAUAUAUAUAAAUUGUAUUAAGAUUU
RNAcentral lists this transfer RNA (72 nucleotides) under Anterhynchium aff. flavomarginatum HB. RNAcentral describes it as "tRNA-Cys". RNAcentral also lists the same sequence under 1 other name. The record is from RNAcentral. Lineage: Eukaryota; Metazoa; Arthropoda; Insecta; Hymenoptera; Vespidae.